CAUUUAAGAUAAUGUAGCCACAUAUUUUGAAAAGAAAAGAACAGAUUUAAAUUACAAACAUUUACUAGGAAACUAUUUGCGAACGUUCGCUUUACUUUAAAUAAUGAUGAGAGGUAUUUGAAUACUAAUUGCAACACAGUAACAGGAUUUAUCCCAAUUUGUGCUUCAAAGCACGGUCUUGUUUUUCCACUAGGGCAUCAUACGUGCAACGGAGUUUCUCCUAGACGUUUCUUGUUGUUCCAUCCCUGGAUCCGUCUGGACGAGGGCAAUGACCACAAGCCGAUACUUCGGAUAUCCUGAUAACUCACCUCGUGCACAGGAUCAUCAACGAAGUAUCUUUUCGUCGAUUAUUCCAUUGGAACGUUGGAAAUUACUGCAAUGGCCGAAAGAUAACAGUGGUUCUGAGAUAGGGACGGCGACGCGACAGGAUAACAGAAGAAGAAAAUUACUACGUCGGCGGAGAGUGACGCCUGCGCAGGAACAUAUGAUACUUCCUUUAUAUUAUACAACGUAAUAGAUUAAAAUCCACCUAAUAAGGAACAUCUUUUCAAUCAGGAUGGAAAUUUGUAAUCAGAUCUUAAUUGCUUGGGUAAUUUAAAUCGUAUCUAAUCAGAGUUCGCAACAUUUAUUCAACUUUCUUUUGGCGAGGAUUCCGUGUUAAUUGUAUUCAAAUGCCGGAAUAUAAUCUCUCUCGCGAAAGAAGCUGCAUCACAAAAUCGCAUAUUUGCUAUGGAAACGCGUUCAUCGAGCUCGAAAGUGGCCACAGGACUAGAGUACGGUUCUACAAGGUUCUGAAGAGUCUGCAGUUAUAGGAGGCGAACAAACACACAAGGAGCGCCUUUCGAUCGUAAUUGGAACCGCAGGGGCCUGACCAACGUCCGUGUUCAAGCACUCCUUUUCCCAUAACCAUCAUUCUUCGAGAGUGUCUCCGCUUCUCUAUAAGAGAAACACAAUAGCCCAUAUAUGCAGUGACAAAAUAACGUCGAGUUACGAUCGAUUCUCGUUGCGAAGCGAUUUUGGACCAACGAAAUCCCAUUUGUACAACAUGGUACAACACAAGAAAAGCGAAAUAGGCAGGAGAGAAGCGCCCUAAGAUGAGAUCUCGGAUCACCCACGAGGGAGGAGCAAAUGUCGCAAAUUGCCGAUAACGAUCAGUCAGCGGGAGUGAUGCUUUCUUCGGCUUAUAUCGCAAAUAUCUUGAUUGAAUUUGCUGAAAUUAUUGUUGAUUUCAAUAAUUUUGUCUUGUUUACAUAUUCUAUCGAGAUAUCUAAUAAAGAGACUCGUAGUCGUUCGCAACUUUUCUGACAAGCUCUAUAUUCGACGACGCGCAUUUUGCUUCAACCUCGGAUGAUUUCUCGCGAAGCAGCGUCCAUGCUUAUGCGGCUGCAUGUCGGCAGGUGCUUUAAAAGGGAUUACACGAUUUCGUCAUAAUAUGUACGCGCAUUGGAUAGUUUGGAAUAAUGUAUUAAAAUAAAUACCACCCUUCCUCGGAGAUUUAUUAUGCCUGAUUGUUACAGCGUCAGGCUCCUCUUAGAGUUCUAUAACGAAGCCAACAAGCACGAACCGACGAGACGACCGAGACUGAUAACAGCGGUAACUCGGCAAGAAAGAUUCAGAGGAUGAUUCGGCCGUUCAUUCGGAUUCUGAGGAUACCAUCGAUCCUG
RNA transcript from Cataglyphis hispanica, 1664 nucleotides. It is a transcript of the gene named barH-like 2 homeobox protein, with no coding region annotated. The transcript is spliced from 7 exons. The record is from RefSeq and is a predicted model, not a curated record. Lineage: Eukaryota; Metazoa; Arthropoda; Insecta; Hymenoptera; Formicidae.